This 253-nucleotide ribosomal RNA is filed under the name uncultured bacterium. Its description in RNAcentral is "partial 16S ribosomal RNA". It matches the Rfam family "Bacterial small subunit ribosomal RNA", at positions 524 to 776 of the family's 1533-position model. The record is from RNAcentral.
UACGUAGGGUGCGAGCGUUGUCCGGAAUUAUUGGGCGUAACGGGCUCGUAGGCGGUUUGUCGCGUCGGGAGUGAAAACCUCGGGCUUAACUCGGGGCUUGCUUUCGAUACGGGCAGACUAGAGGUAUGCAGGGGAGAACGGAAUUCCUGGUGUAGCGGUGAAAUGCGCAGAUAUCAGGAGGAACACCGGUGGCGAAGGCGGUUCUCUGGGCAUGAUCUGACGCUGAGGAGCGAAAGUGUGGGGAGCGAACAGG